Molecule: ribosomal RNA, 467 nt
Filed under: uncultured bacterium
Lineage: Bacteria
Description: partial 16S ribosomal RNA
Rfam family: Bacterial small subunit ribosomal RNA
Source: RNAcentral
GACGAACGCUGGCGGCGUGCUUAACACAUGCAAGUCGAACGGAAAGGCCCUGCUUUUGUGGGGUGCUCGAGUGGCGAACGGGUGAGUAACACGUGAGUAACCUGCCCUUGACUUUGGGAUAACUUCAGGAAACUGGGGCUAAUACCGGAUAGGAGCUCCUGCUGCAUGGUGGGGGUUGGAAAGUUUCGGCGGUUGGGAUGGACUCGCGGCUUAUCAGCUUGUUGGUGGGGUAGUGGCUUACCAAGGCUUUGACGGGUAGCCGGCCUGAGAGGGUGACCGGCCACAUUGGGACUGAGAUACGGCCCAGACUCCUACGGGAGGCAGCAGUGGGGAAUAGUGCACAAUGGGCGGAAGCCUGAUGCAGCAACGCCGCGUGCGGGAUGACGGCCUUCGGGUUGUAAACCGCUUUCGCCUGUGACGAAGCGUGAGUGACGGGAAUGGGUAAAGAAGCACCGGCUAACUACGUG